This 240-nucleotide long non-coding RNA is filed under the name Carica papaya (papaya). RNAcentral describes it as "long non-coding RNA (CPAP_LNC016471)". The record is from RNAcentral. Lineage: Eukaryota; Viridiplantae; Streptophyta; Magnoliopsida; Brassicales; Caricaceae.
UAUUAUUGAUUAAACUCAAAGGUGUGCACUUAACCUCCACUCGUUCGAAGAAAGAAAAAAAAAACAAGUUUCUUUCCAUUCUUCUUAAUCUUCAAGCACAAAUACAAAAUCUAAAUAUUUGAUGUUAAUAUUUUCUAUAGUCUAAAUCUCAUGUCAUAAGGUUCAAAGGAGGAAGCUUUGGAAAAGAUCUGUACUAGCAAAAUCAUACGGGACCCAAGACCAUGUUGUACUCAUUUCCAC